RNAcentral lists this ribosomal RNA (468 nucleotides) under uncultured bacterium. Its description in RNAcentral is "partial 16S ribosomal RNA". It matches the Rfam family "Bacterial small subunit ribosomal RNA", at positions 28 to 507 of the family's 1533-position model. The record is from RNAcentral.
GACGAACGCUGGCGGCGUGCUUAACACAUGCAAGUCGAACGGAAAGGCCCUGCUUUGGUGGGGUGCUCGAGUGGCGAACGGGUGAGUAACACGUGAGUAACCUGCCCUUGACUUUGGGAUAACUUCAGGAAACUGGGGCUAAUACCGGAUAGGAGCUCCUGCUGCAUGGUGGGGAUUGGAAAGUUUCGGCGGUUGGGGAUGGACUCGCGGCUUAUCAGCUUGUUGGUGGGGUAGUGGCUUACCAAGGCUUUGACGGGUAGCCGGCCUGAGAGGGUGACCGGCCACAUUGGGCUUGGAAUGCGGCACAGACUCCUCCGGGAGGCAGCAGUGGGGAAUAUUGCACAAUGGGCGGAAGCCUGAUGCAGCCCCGCCGCGUGCGGGAUGACGGCCUUCGGGUUGUAAACCGCAUUCGCCUGUGACGAAGCGUGAGUGACGGUAAUGGGUGAAGAAGCACCGGCUAACUACGUG